UACGUAGGGGGCAAGCGUUGUCCGGAUUUAUUGGGCGUAAAGAGCGUGUAGGCGGCCGUACAGGUCAGCUGUGAAAACUCGAGGCUCAACCUCGAGACGUCGGUUGAAACCGUACGGCUAGAGUCCGGAAGAGGAGAGUGGAAUUCCCGGUGUAGCGGUGAAAUGCGCAGAUAUCGGGAAGAACACCCGUGGCGAAGGCGGCUCUCUGGGACGGUACUGACGCUGAGGCGCGAAAGCUAGGGGAGCAAACGGG
Molecule: ribosomal RNA, 253 nt
Filed under: uncultured bacterium
Lineage: Bacteria
Description: partial 16S ribosomal RNA
Rfam family: Bacterial small subunit ribosomal RNA
Source: RNAcentral